This 253-nucleotide ribosomal RNA is filed under the name uncultured bacterium. RNAcentral describes it as "partial 16S ribosomal RNA". It matches the Rfam family "Bacterial small subunit ribosomal RNA", at positions 524 to 776 of the family's 1533-position model. The record is from RNAcentral.
UACGUAGGUGGCAAGCGUUGUCCGGAUUUACUGGGCGUAAAGAGCGCGCAGGCGGUCAGAUAAGUCGAAUGUGAAAGCCCCCGGCUCAACUGGGGAGGGUCAUUCGAUACUGUUCGACUCGAAGGCAGGAGAGGGAAGUGGAAUUCCCGGUGUAGUGGUGAAAUGCGUAGAUAUCGGAAGGAACACCGGUGGCGAAAGCGGCGUGCUGGAUCCCUACUGACGCUGAGGCACGAAAGCCAGGGGAGCAAACGGG